Hypanus sabinus (Atlantic stingray) is the source of this 428-nucleotide long non-coding RNA. RefSeq lists it as uncharacterized. The record is from RefSeq and is a predicted model, not a curated record. The transcript has 3 exons. NCBI's taxonomy places the organism in Eukaryota, Metazoa, Chordata, Chondrichthyes, Myliobatiformes, Dasyatidae.
UGCUUUAUCUCAGUUAUCCCAGAACUGAAGCCAGAUAGGUCACUGAGAAAAUAUUGCCCAAUGUUAGACUGAAAGCAGGCACUCAAAAAGGACAGAUCUCUCACUGAACCCAUGCGUAAGGAAAGGCUUAGAGCCACAGUAGCAGGUAAUUUAUAAAAAUCCCAGAACAGAUCCUGUGGAACACCACUGGUCACCAGCCUCCAUAUGAAGGCAGAUUGGACACACAUCGGAGGUGGGGAGAGAAUAGAAGGUGACACCGAUAGAUUGUGAUGAGGGAAGAGGAAGUAAGUUCUGGCAUUUACAGUUUGACGUGAGGUAGAGAGCAUGCUGACAUACCCAUUGACAGUGUGGUAUUCGAUCUGCAGCAAGACCGAUCACAAAGCGCUCCAGCAGGUGAUUAAGUCAGCUCAGCACAUCACUGAGACUCA